RNAcentral lists this unclassified non-coding RNA (246 nucleotides) under uncultured Sordariales. RNAcentral describes it as "sequence contains ITS2". The stretch from base 1 to 52 matches the Rfam family "5.8S ribosomal RNA", at positions 103 to 154 of the family's 154-position model. The record is from RNAcentral. Lineage: Eukaryota; Fungi; Ascomycota; Sordariomycetes; Sordariales.
AACGCACAUUGCGCCCGCCAGUAUUCUGGCGGGCAUGCCUGUUCGAGCGUCAUUUCAACCAUCAAGCCCCCGGGCUUGCGUUGGGGCCCUGCGGCUGCCGCAGACCCCUAAAACCAGUGGCGGGCUCGCUGUCACACCGAGCGCAGUAGCAAUAUCUCGCUCUGGGCGUGGCGCGGGUGCUUGCCGUAAAACACACCACUUAACAAGGUUGACCUCGGAUCAGGUAGGAAUACCCGCUGAACUUAA